GAUGAACGCUGGCGGCGUGCCUAAUACAUGCAAGUCGAGCGAACGGACGAGAAGCUUGCUUCUCUGAUGUUAGCGGCGGACGGGUGAGUAACACGUGGAUAACCUACCUAUAAGACUGGGAUAACUUCGGGAAACCGGAGCUAAUACCGGAUGAUAUUUUGAACCGCAUGGUUCAAAAGUGAAAGACGGUCUUGCUGUCACUUAUAGAUGGAUCCGCGCUGCAUUAGCUAGUUGGUAAGGUAACGGCUUACCAAGGCAACGAAGCAUAGCCGACCUGAGAGGGUGAUCGGCCACACUGGAGCUGAGACACGGUCCAGACUCCUACGGGAGGCAGCAGUAGGGAAUCUUCCGCAAUGGGCGAAAGCCUGACGGAGCAACGCCGCGUGAGUGAUGAAGGUCUUCGGAUCGUAAAACUCUGUUAUUAGGGAAGAACAUAUGUGUAAGUAACUGUGCACAUCUUGACGGUACCUAAUCAGAAAGCCACGGCUAACUACGUG
This 497-nucleotide ribosomal RNA is filed under the name uncultured bacterium. Its description in RNAcentral is "partial 16S ribosomal RNA". It matches the Rfam family "Bacterial small subunit ribosomal RNA", at positions 28 to 507 of the family's 1533-position model. The record is from RNAcentral.